AUGCGGGUUCCGCCAUGUCCCUAAUUCACCAGGGUGUGCGGCUCGCCGGCUACUCUCAUCCGGUUUUGACCACCGAUCGAAGCGGUGUACCAGGGUGAGGCCGCCGUUACAUGCGGACAGCUACUUGGAACCACAGAUAUUUACUCCUUUGCUCUACGCUUGUAAUAAAAAGGCAGAGCUGAGUGGAGGAGCAGAGUCAACUUCAGCAGACAUUGCAACGCUCUGAGAUAACCGAAAUGACGCAAAUGAAUCAAACGGGAACGUGUUGUUAUCUUUCCGAUACGAUUUCCAUCAUCUGCAGCUUUUUGCCUUUUGAUUCGGUGUAAAUGGGAGUUUAUUUCUUUGGAAUCCUCUGGAAGUGGAAUAGAAUGGAGUUUGCAGCUCAGUGGCCAAUAAAUUGGAAGGGCAGAUCACUCUCUGCAGACUACAUUAAUGUGCUCAGUAAACAAUCAAUGUCAAGAGCAGAGGAAGCAGAAUAUAACAACACAAUGGAAGUAUCCUAAUUGGUUGCAUCAUAGCCUGGAUGAUGCCUUGCCUGGCAACGGAAAUGGCUACAGGGUGGCUGGGGUUCUAUUGAGAGCUUUGAUCUACAGUGGCACUCAAAACUGUGGUUCUGCACAGCGGAGUAUUCCCGUUCUUGGAGCUGGCCAAUUGGCCAUGUAUCGUUAUGUCCAGGUUCGGUCUGCAGUCAGGUGACUUCGGGGCCAUGCGCUUCCAUGUGGACGUGAAUUCUCACCAGUGUUGCGAACUGAAGCGUAGCGGGAGCCGUACAUCAAAGACAGCUGUUGGACAGCUCUGCAUUCAGGAUCACAAGUUUUCUUUCUCUUUUGUCCUUCUCCCCACCUCCCCCUCUCCCCCUCCCUCCCAAUUCUCGAGUCGGAACUCAAAAUAAAAGGCAAUGGUUCAGACUGACUAACAUUGAAACAGCAAAUGUGGUCUCCUCUCUCGCCACAGAAGGAGUGACUUCUGCCUCUCAUUAGUGAGAGGGAGUGCCAGUGGGACGUUGAAAAUGUUGGACUGAACACUAAGUUUUGACACAUGGUAUUUGGGAGAGACCAAGGCUACAGGAGUGAACCCAGACAGCAAAUCCAGAGUUGAGCCUCAAGGCAGCUGGAUGUCCUUGAACAUCCUUCCGGCAGCUCCUGCAGCCAAACGUUGCUUCAUAAACUUUCCUUUGGACUACACUGCCGCGAGGGGAAUCUUGAUGACUGGGCAUCUCAGGAUCUCCAUAACUUCCACACAGGUGUGAUGAUAAGACCAUAAGAUAUAGGAGCAGGAGCAGACCAUUUGCCCAUUGAGUCUGCUCUGCCAUUCAAUCAAGGGCUGAUCCAAUUCUUCCAGUCAUCCCCACUCCCCUGCUUUCACCCCAUACCCUUUGAUGCCCUGGCUAAUCAAGAACCUAUCUACUUCUGCCUUAAAUACACCCAAUGACUUGGCCUCCACAGUCACUUGUGGCAACAAAUUCCACAGAUUUACCAUCCUCUGACUAAAGUAAUUUCUCUGCAUCUCUGUUAUCAAUGGACGUCCUUCAAUCCAGAAGUCAUGCCCUCUUGUCCUUGUCACAAUGGAGGCGUUGGGAAUGGACCCAAAUGCAAGACAUAGACACUGAAGUACAAGGAACAGGACUUGACUAGAGCAGGGACAUGACAGGAUACAGACAAGGAGCAGGGACAAGAAUGCAGACUUGGGCUUGGACCCCGAGCCAGAGACUGGACAAGGAUGCAGAACCUGGGUCUUGCCUUGGGCUCGGGCUCCAGAACCAGGCAUGGACAUGACAUGACUGCAGGCUGGGGUCCUGAGGCUUGAGGCUUGGAGACAGACUUGGGGGCUUGAGGCUUGGAGACAGGCUUGGGGGCUUGGGUCUUGAGUCUUGGAAUGCAGAGGCAGGAGCUUGGAGACAGACUGAGAACUGUACAUCAACAUAGAGCUGGGACUUAUCCUUCAAAAAGCCAGGACUCAUCUUUUAACGUGAGACAGGACAGUACAUAGACAUAUUGCCAGGACUUACACUUAGACAAGCUGGAACUCAACUUCAUCUCCACACCAAGGUGGGACAGGACCAUCUGUCGGGGAACGGCCGGACUUUCCCAACAGAGGCAAAGACAAGACAGGACAAGACAGGUCCCCCCGCAGGGCAACGGCAGAAUGGCCUGACUUACCCCACGGAGGCGAGGACAAGACAAGACAGAUCCCCCUUGCAGGGCAACGGCAGAACGGCCUGACUUACCCCACGGAGGCGAGGACAAGACAAGACAGAUCCCCCCUGCAGGGCAAUGGCAGAAUGGCCUGACUUACCCCACGGAGGCGAGGACAAGACAAGACAGAUCCCCCCUGCAGGGCAAUGGCAGAAUGGCCUGACUUACCCCACGGAGGCGAGGACAAGACAAGACAGAUCCCCCCUGCAGGGCAAUGGCAGAAUGGCCUGACUUACCCCACGGAGGCGAGGACAAGACAGGACAAGACAGGUCCCCCCGCAGGGCAACGGCAGAACGGCCCGACUUACCCCAUGGAGGCGAGGACAAGACAGGUCCCCCCCACAGGGCAACGGCACAAUGGCCUGACUUACCACAUGGAGGUGAGGACAAGAAGAGACAAACACCAAAGAACGACAGACAGUUCCAUCUCUGCACUGGCGAUUGAACUCGACAGUAGUGCAGGCGAGGUAUCCAGGCAGAGAGUCGGGCGAGGGGAGAAAAGACAUGGAGGGAAACAGGACAGUCCAGCAGGUAUGCGGAGGUAUUUAUGUCUCAGCCCCAAAACGAGAAUCAUGUGCCCACAAGAGAGAGAGAGUGGGGAAAACCAGAAAUCCCGGAACAAGGAACCAUGGACCAGACCGUGAAUCGGAACACGGAUUCACGGACCGGACCAUGACAGUUCUAGACUCCCCUACCAUGGGAAAUAACCUCACCAUAUCUAAUUUGUUCAGUCCUUUUAACGUUAGGAAUGUUUCUAUGAGAUCCCCCUCAUUCUCCUGAACUCCAGGGAAUACAGCCCAAGAGCUGCCAGGUGUUCCUCGUAUGGGAAUCCUUUCAUUCCUGGAAUCAUUCUUGUAAAUCUUUUCUGAACUCUCUCCAAUGUCAGUAUACCCUUUCUAAAAUAAGGAGCCCAAAACUGCACACAAUACUCCAAGUUUGGUCUUGCGCAUACCUUACAGAGCCUCAACAUCACAUCCCUGCUCUUAUAUUCCAUACCUCUAGAAAUGAAUGCCGACAUUGCAUUGGCCUUCUUCACCAUCAACUCAACCUGAAGGUUAAUCUUUAGGGUAUCCUGCACAAGGACUCCAAAGUCUCUUUGCAUCUCUGCAUUUUGAAUUCUCUCCCUAUCUAAAUAAUAGUCUGCCUAUUUAUUUCUUCAACCAAAGUGCAUAACCAUACACUUUCUAACAUUGUAUUUUUUAUUUGCCACUUCCUUGCUCAUUCCCCUAAACUAUCUAAGUCUCUCUGCAGGCUCUCUGUUUCCUCAACAUUAUCUGCUCCUCCACCUAUCUUUGUAUCAUCGGUAAAUUUAGCCACAAAUCCAUUAAUCCCAUAGUCCAAAUCAUUGACAUACAUCGUAAAAAGCAGCGGUCCCAACACCGACCCCUGUGGAACUCCACUGGUAACCGGCAGCCAGCCAGAAUAGGAUCCCUUUAUUCCCACUCUCUGUUUUCUGCCGAUUGGCCAAUGCUCCACCUAUGCUAGUAACUUCCCUGUGAUUCCAUGGGCUCUUAUCUUGCUAAGCAGCCUCAUGUGCGGCACCUUGUCAAAGGCCUUCUGAAAAUCCAAGUACACCACAUCUACUGCAUCUCCUUUGUCUACACUGCAUGAAAUUUCCUCAAAAAAUUGCAUUAGGUUAGUCAGGCAAGAAUUUCCUUUCAGGAAACCAUGUUGGCUUUAGCUUGUCUUGUCAUGUGCCCCCAGGUAUUCCAUAAUCUCAUCCCAACAAUCAAUUCCAACAACUUCCCAACCACUGAUGUCAGGCUAACAGGUCUAUAGUUUCCUUUCUGCUGCCUCCCACCCUUCCUAAAUAGCAGAUUAACAUUUGUAAUUUUCCAGUCAUCCGGUAAAAUGCCAAAAUCUAUUGAUUCUUGAAAGAUCAUUGUUAAUGCCUCCGCAUUCUCUCCAGCUACUUCCUUCAGAACCCAAGGGUGCAUUCCAUCAGGUCCAGGAGAUUUAUCCACCCUCAGACCAUUAAGCUUCUCAGUCGCAAUUUUCACUGCACAAUCUUCACUUUUCUGACACUCUUGAAUGUCCGGUAUACUGCAGAUGUCUUCCACUGUGAAGACUGAUGCAAAAUACGCAUUCAGUUCCUCUGCCAUCUCUGCAUCUCUCAUUACAAUAUUUCAAGCAUCAUUUUCUAUUGGUCCUAUAUCUACCCUCAACUCUUCUUUUACCCUUUAUAUACUUAAAAAGACUUUCAGUAUCUUCUUUGAUAUUAGUCGCCAGCUUCCUUUAAUAAUUCAUCUUUUUCUUCCUAAUGAACUUAGUUUCCUUCUGCAAGUUUUUAAAAGCUUCCCAAUCCUCUAUCUUCCCACUAACUUUAGCUUCCU
Long non-coding RNA from Mobula hypostoma (lesser devil ray), 4528 nucleotides. RefSeq lists it as uncharacterized. The transcript has 4 exons. Lineage: Eukaryota; Metazoa; Chordata; Chondrichthyes; Myliobatiformes; Myliobatidae. The record is from RefSeq and is a predicted model, not a curated record.